Molecule: ribosomal RNA, 468 nt
Filed under: uncultured bacterium
Lineage: Bacteria
Description: bacterial SSU rRNA
Rfam family: Bacterial small subunit ribosomal RNA
Source: RNAcentral
GAGCCAGACUCCUACGGGAGGCAGCAGUGAGGAAUAUUGGUCAAUGGGCGGGAGCCUGAACCAGCCAAGUCGCGUGAGGGAUGACGGCCCUAUGGGUUGUAAACCUCUUUUGCCGGGGAGCAAAGUGCCGCACGUGUGCGGUUUGGAGAGUACCCGGAGAAAAAGCAUCGGCUAACUCCGUGCCAGCAGCCGCGGUAAUACGUAGGGGGCAAGCGUUAUCCGGAUUUACUGGGUGUAAAGGGAGCGUAGACGGCAGCGCAAGCCUGGAGUGAAAGGAUGGGGCCCAACCCCAUGACUGCUCUGGGAACUGCGCGGCUGGAGUGCCGGAGGGGUAAGCGGAAUUCCUAGUGUAGCGGUGAAAUGCGUAGAUAUUAGGAGGAACACCAGUGGCGAAGGCGGCUUACUGGACGGUAACUGACGUUGAGGCUCGAAAGCGUGGGGAGCAAACAGGAUUAGAUACCCUGGUAC